GCGGCGUGCUUACACAUGCAAGUCGAACGAUGAAGCCCAGCUUGCUGGGUGGAUUAGUGGCGAACGGGUGAGUAACACGUGAGCAACCUGCCCCUGACUCUGGGAUAACAGCCGGAAACGGUUGCUAAUACCGGAUAUGCAUCAUGGCCGCAUGGUCUGUGAUGGGAAAGAUUUUUCGGUUGGGGAUGGGCUCGCGGCCUAUCAGCUUGUUGGUGAGGUAGUGGCUCACCAAGGCGUCGACGGGUAGCCGGCCUGAGAGGGUGACCGGCCACACUGGGACUGAGACACGGCCCAGACUCCUACGGGAGGCAGCAGUGGGGAAUAUUGCACAAUGGGCGGAAGCCUGAUGCAGCAACGCCGCGUGAGGGACGACGGCCUUCGGGUUGUAAACCUCUUUUAGCAGGGAAGAAGCGAAAGUGACGGUACCUGCAGAAAAAGCGCCGGCUAACUACGUGCCAGCAGCCGCGGUAAUACGUAGGGCGCAAGCGUUAUCCGGAAUUAUUGGGCGUAAAGAGCUCGUAGGCGGUUUGUCGCGUCUGCUGUGAAAACCCGAGGCUCAACCUCGGGCCUGCAGUGGGUACGGGCAGACUAGAGUGCGGUAGGGGAGAUUGGAAUUCCUGGUGUAGCGGUGGAAUGCGCAGAUAUCAGGAGGAACACCGAUGGCGAAGGCAGAUCUCUGGGCCGUUACUGACGCUGAGGAGCGAAAGGGUGGGGAGCAAACAGGCUUAGAUACCCUGGUAGUCCACCCCGUAAACGUUGGGAACUAGUUGUGGGGGCCUUUCCACGGUCUCCGUGACGCAGCUAACGCAUUAAGUUCCCCGCCUGGGGAGUACGGCCGCAAGGCUAAAACUCAAAGGAAUUGACGGGGACCCGCAC
This 876-nucleotide ribosomal RNA is filed under the name Microbacterium oryzae. RNAcentral's name for it is "bacterial SSU rRNA". It matches the Rfam family "Bacterial small subunit ribosomal RNA", at positions 39 to 926 of the family's 1533-position model. The record is from RNAcentral. Lineage: Bacteria; Bacillati; Actinomycetota; Actinomycetes; Micrococcales; Microbacteriaceae.